Molecule: ribosomal RNA, 468 nt
Filed under: uncultured bacterium
Lineage: Bacteria
Description: partial 16S ribosomal RNA
Rfam family: Bacterial small subunit ribosomal RNA
Source: RNAcentral
GACGAACGCUGGCGGCGUGCUUAACACAUGCAAGUCGAACGGAAAGGCCCUGCUUUUGUGGGGUGCUCGAGGGGCGAACGGGUGAGUAACACGUGAGUAACCUGCCCUUGACUUUGGGAUAACUUCAGGAAACUGGGGCUAAUACCGGAUAGGAGCUCCUGCUGCAUGGUGGGCGGUGGAAAGUUUCGGCGGGUGGGGAUGGACUCGCGGCUUAUCAGCUUGUUGGUGGGGUAGUGGCUUACCAAGGCUUUGACGGGUAGCCGGCCUGAGAGGGUGACCGGCCACAUUGGGACUGAGAGACGGCGCAGACUCCUACGGGAGGCAGCAGUGGGGAAUAUUGCACAAUGGGCGGAAGCCUGAUGCAGCAACGCCGCGUGCGGGAUGACGGCCUUCGGGUUGUAAACCGCUUUCGCCUGUGACGAAGCGUGAGUGACGGUAAUGGGUAAAGAAGCACCGGCUAACUACGUG